CCUACGGGAGACUGCAGUGGGGAAUAUUGCACAAUGGGGGAAACCCUGAUGCAGCGACGCCGCGUGAGUGAAGAAGUAAUUCGGUAUGUAAAGCUCUAUCAGCAGGGAAGAAAAUGACGGUACCUGACUAAGAAGCCCCGGCUAACUACGUGCCAGCAGCCGCGGUAAUACGUAGGGGGCAAGCGUUAUCCGGAUUUACUGGGUGUAAAGGGAGCGUAGACGGCAGUGCAAGUCUGGAGUGAAAGGUGGGGGCCCAACCCCCGGACUGCACUGGAAACUGUACGGCUGGAGUGCAGGAGAGGUAAGUGGAAUUCCUAGUGUAGCGGUGAAAUGCGUAGAUAUUAGGAGGAACACCAGUGGCGAAGGCGGCUUACUGGACUGUAACUGACGUUGAGGCUCGAAAGCGUGGGGAGCAAACAGGAUUAGAUACCCGGGUAGUC
This 440-nucleotide ribosomal RNA is filed under the name uncultured bacterium. RNAcentral's name for it is "partial 16S ribosomal RNA". It matches the Rfam family "Bacterial small subunit ribosomal RNA", at positions 338 to 795 of the family's 1533-position model. The record is from RNAcentral.